AUAACAUUUAUUUAAUGGAUGCUGAGCAAAAGGUAUUCACAUUUCAUGCUUCGGGGCUUAAGCCGAUCCUAGAUCAGUAGGGAACUUUUCCAGGCUCUGAAUUGUGCAACUGGGAGCAGAAUGUUUGGGGAAAUGAUCCUGUUUCCAAUUUCUGUGUUUAAAGGCAGCUAUGUUGACAAUGAUUUUCCGGCACUUUAACUAUCAAGAUAAUAAUACUUGUAGACUGCAGGUGCACUAUUGCCUGAAGCCACAUGGGAAGUCACAAGAAAGAGAAAUAAUAUACCAUCAGAGCUUAAACCUACUUUGUAACCCCAGCUAAUCAUUCACUACUUGUGAUUCUUCUGGCAACAAAUAAGGAAAAAAUACAGCAUCAAUUGUGAACUUAUGGUCAUAUGUCAGAUAUUGGUAAGACAUUUUGAACCCAUGAAUUCAUGUCAUCAUUUCAACAACUAACAUAAAUAUCAUGAACCCCAUUUUACAGAUGUGAAAAUGAAGGUUUAAAAAUGAAAUAACAACCAAACUACAUGAGUAGAAGGCAGAAAAAGCCAACAUUAGAAUCCAGGUCCUUCUGAAUUUAAAGCUCAUGUUCUUUGCACUAAAUCUGUAUUCCAUACAAAUCUGAUUUUAUAAGACAGAAAAUUUAAAAAACUCAGCAACAAAGGAACGAACAGACAUCACCUCAGCAUUAUCUUAUAUUAUACCCAGACAAAAACAUUUUAAAUAGAAAUAAAUUCUGGCUUAAAAAAAAGUUUUCCA
RNAcentral lists this long non-coding RNA (756 nucleotides) under Felis catus (domestic cat). RNAcentral's name for it is "lncRNA (ENSFCAG00000046427.2)". Lineage: Eukaryota; Metazoa; Chordata; Mammalia; Carnivora; Felidae. The record is from RNAcentral.